Molecule: unclassified non-coding RNA, 259 nt
Filed under: Hevea brasiliensis (rubber tree)
Lineage: Eukaryota; Viridiplantae; Streptophyta; Magnoliopsida; Malpighiales; Euphorbiaceae
Source: RNAcentral
CCCUUUUCCUUUUUCUUUCCCUCCCUCGUCAAUUUCCCUACCCUCCUCUCCUCCGCCAUUUACUCUUUCGACGGCGCAACCACAGACCGGCUAGCUUCUCUUCUGACGACAGUAAAUUUGGCGAACUCCAGCAGCUAGUUUGGUGGCUCCAGCAGCGGCGUUUCGCGAAGGAAAGGGAGAAGAAGUUCGCGAGUUCCUCCAUUCGCUUCGCUCUGCUUAUGCUGUCACUUUUACUAGCCUCAAGGUUGGACUACACAAC